This 339-nucleotide small RNA is filed under the name Drosophila erecta. Its description in RNAcentral is "GG26257". The record is from RNAcentral. Lineage: Eukaryota; Metazoa; Arthropoda; Insecta; Diptera; Drosophilidae.
GCCCAGCGGACAUCGGAGGAGCCGCUUCAGAUCGCGUUCAGUUCAGAGUGGAUUCCGUCCGAGAUUCCGUGCCGUUAGAGCGCCCAGCGUCCGUCGAUCGCCAGGCAGUUAAGACCGCGACCUCGCGGCAUUCCGGCUGCAGUCUCCGGUUCCGAGUCGCGUCGAGCGUUUCGUGUUGAGGUAGAAGACAAUCCUCUACGACGGCUACAGCAGUGCAACGCAUUUUGAAACUGUUGAUGCAACGGCAGCAGAAACUGCUGCGGAAAUUAUUCCAACUGACUGCAUUGGCAAAACGUUAAGUAUACGCAGUGGUGUGCGGGCAAAGAGAAAGCAAAAAGC